This 253-nucleotide ribosomal RNA is filed under the name uncultured bacterium. RNAcentral describes it as "partial 16S ribosomal RNA". It matches the Rfam family "Bacterial small subunit ribosomal RNA", at positions 524 to 776 of the family's 1533-position model. The record is from RNAcentral.
UACAGAGGGGGCAAGCGUUGUUCGGAAUUACUGGGCGUAAAGGGCGCGUAGGCGGCCAACUAAGUCAGACGUGAAAUCCCUCGGCUCAACCGGGGAACUGCGUCUGAUACUGGAUGGCUUGAGGUUGGGAGAGGGAUGCGGAAUUCCAGGUGUAGCGGUGAAAUGCGUAGAUAUCUGGAGGAACACCGGUGGCGAAGGCGGCAUCCUGGACCAAUUCUGACACUGAGGAGCGAAAGCCAGGGGGGCAAACGGG